GACGAACGCUGGCGGCGUGCUUAACACAUGCAAGUCGAGCGGUAAGGCCCUUUCGGGGGUACGACGAGCGGCGAACGGGUGAGUAACACGUGGGUGACCUGCCCUUAGCUCUGGGAUAAGCCUGGGAAACUGGGUCUAAUACCGGAUAUGACUCCAUGACGCAUGUUGUGGGGUGGAAAGCCUUGUGCGGCUAGGGAUGGGCCUGCGGCCUAUCAGCUUGUUGGUGGGGUGAGGCCUACCAAGGCGACGACGGGUAGCCGGCCUGAGAGGGCGACCGGCCACACUGGGACUGAGACACGGCCCAGACUCCUACGGGAGGCAGCAGUGGGGAAUCUUGCGCAAUGGGCGAAAGCCUGACGCAGCGACGCCGCGUGGGGA
Molecule: ribosomal RNA, 378 nt
Filed under: uncultured bacterium
Lineage: Bacteria
Description: bacterial SSU rRNA
Rfam family: Bacterial small subunit ribosomal RNA
Source: RNAcentral